CGCCCGUCCGAGCUGCCUUUGUUCUGCCGAGCUGCCUGCCCGCGCUCUCGUGAAAAGUCUGGUACUGGAGCUUCGAAUCGUAGUGUAUGGAAGACUGUUGAAGGUUGUGCUUUUGUGGAGCUCGAGUUCAUCGGAAGUUCUACAGUGCUUGCGCCAGAAAAACGUCGGUGCCUCGGUACCUUUGAGACGAAGGAGCGUUGGCCAAGUCUUUUUGAAAGGCUAUGCGGAUUCUGGAGGCAUCCCUACAUCAAGCAGGAACCUGCUGCACUGCUGGAAGCUGGACAGCACGACAAUAAAGCACGUGAUCUGUGUGCUUUCUCAAAGGUAGACAUCGGCGACGGUGUAUAUGUUGAAAAGUGCCUGCUGAAGAGGCUGCGCCUGGAUGCAAACAAC
Molecule: long non-coding RNA, 393 nt
Filed under: Dermacentor andersoni
Lineage: Eukaryota; Metazoa; Arthropoda; Arachnida; Ixodida; Ixodidae
Description: uncharacterized LOC126524390
Source: RNAcentral